GCCUGGGUGGCUCAGUGGUUGAGCAUCUGCCUUUGGCUCAGGGCAUGAUCCUGGAUUCUUGGGAUCAAGUCCCACAUCAGGCU
Molecule: non-coding RNA, 83 nt
Organism: Canis lupus familiaris (dog)
Lineage: Eukaryota; Metazoa; Chordata; Mammalia; Carnivora; Canidae
Source: Rfam